Agrilus planipennis (emerald ash borer) is the source of this 1016-nucleotide long non-coding RNA. RefSeq lists it as uncharacterized. NCBI's taxonomy places the organism in Eukaryota, Metazoa, Arthropoda, Insecta, Coleoptera, Buprestidae. The record is from RefSeq and is a predicted model, not a curated record. The transcript is spliced from 2 exons.
GCACCGAGGGUAACUAACUUAGAAAUGCAAAAUUCCAUUGUUAUAAACUUGUUCGAGGCUCCUGGUUGGCUGCUACUGUCCGCGCCAAUACAGUAGCCAAUAAAAAAUUAGGUCAACUACUACACGUGCUACUUUGGAAUGCGGUUGUAAAUAAACAAAACAAAUGUUCAUUCACCUUUCGUUAGGCGCCACUUGAAUUUUGAAAAGAGAUAACUCAGGCAUUUUUGGGUCGAUUUGAAGGCGGUUUUUACAAAAGUGUGACAAAUUUGAUAAAUACAAUUCUUGUGUACUGCUCAGUAUAAAUUAUUAAACAUUACAGCUAAUAAUACAUAAAAGAGAAAUAAAAUAUUAGUUUAAAAUAAGUAAUUGUACAUUUUAGAGAAAUUAUUGCAGACAUUGACUAAAUAUAAGUUUUAGAAUAAGGGUUUAAUAAUACUGUUCGGGUUUGGUAUAGUUUUACAUUGAGAUGAAACUUUUUUAGGUCUUAUAAGUUUACAAAUAUUCCAUUUACAUUUUCUUGAACAUAAACAACAAUUGGACUUGGCCUAUAACGACAGAGAUAUCGGACAAUUAUUCAUAGUUGGAAUAAUCUGUGCUAUUUUGGGUGGAACUGGAUUUUUAGUCCACACUUCGUAUGAAAUUGCAACGCGAAAAGGAAUAUCUCCAAUUGCAAAUAAUGAAAUAACAAGUAUAAUAUGGUCGUUUAUGGUGUUGAAAGUUAGCGUUGUUUUGGCUUUAGUCGCCAGAAGAUAUCGAAGAAAUACUUCAACAGAAUUUAUUGUGCCGCAAAAUGUGGAAGCCUCCGGUUAACGUCUCUUUUCUUGUCUUUGACUUAAAUCAACGCGUAAUUUAAUAAUUAAUUAUUUUCGUUUUUCAUGAUACUACCUAAUUACAUUUUUUUAUUGCUUAAGUACUACGUAAGUAUUAUUUUUUCUUCGUUUUGAAUGUUUGCUAGUUAUACAUUACAUACCAUAGUACAUAUAUUUGUUUUCCGAAUAAAAUAAUAUUCACAAUUA